This 1470-nucleotide long non-coding RNA is filed under the name Bos indicus x Bos taurus (hybrid cattle). RNAcentral describes it as "lncRNA (ENSBIXG00000029401.1)". The record is from RNAcentral. Lineage: Eukaryota; Metazoa; Chordata; Mammalia; Artiodactyla; Bovidae.
AUUUAGACACAAUAGCUAAAAGUUCAGAUAGCUAUAUACCAAAGAUGAUUAAUGUCUAUUAUUGGGUGGUGGGAUGAUGGAGGAUUUUGUAUUGCCUCACCCACUCUCUAGCUAGAAGAAAACUAAAUUUAAUGGUGUCUUUGUCUUCAUUUUUACUGGGGAAGUAGGGUUGUAUCUGAGAGAUGGAGGCAGGGGGGCAUGGAGCAGAACAUUAGUCUUUGUAUAAUUGUCAUGAGUCUUCAUCUUUUUUACAUGGACAAUUUAUAAAGUUAUGUAAAAUGCUAUGCAAAAGGAGCUUCAAGUCCCCAUUUAUAAGGACAAUGAUAAUAGCCGGUUUGAAUGUACAUGCCUGUAGUAUACUAACUGGGGACUUCCCUGGUGGCUCAGUGGUCAAGAAUCCGCCUGCAGUGCAGGAGAUGCAAAUUCAGACCCUGGGUUGAGAAGAUUCCCUGGACAAGGAAAUGGCAACUCACUCCAGUAAUCUUGCCUGGAAAAUCCCAUGGACAGAAGAGCCUCAUGCGCUACAUUCCAUGAGUCACAAAGAGUCAGGACACAACUGAGUGACUAACCACACACUGUACUAACUGAUGUGUGUGUGUGUGAAGGCACACAAAUUAUAUAUUAAACUAACUUAGUCCUCUCAACGACAUUUUGAAGUAAGUAUUAUCAUUUUACAGAUGGGGAAAUCAAGGCUCACCUUCUUCCCUGUAAGGCCGUGCCACAUGAAAAUUCUGGAGCUCCACUGGGAGAGAUGUGGGAUGAAUUUGUCUUUUGUGAUGUGCUCUCUGGUCCGCUCAUUCCCUCAACCUUAAUCCCUUUCUCAACUUCUCUUUUGUACAACUGAGUUUUCUUCGACCAGGGCCAUUCCAAGUACAAAGUCACGCAAUAUUGGGCCUGCUGUUCCUACACCACCACGAGGUUAUAUUUCCAGAGAACCUGUUGCAACACAGCGUACAGAGACCACUGUCACUUUGGACUCACCAGGUUAUACUUCCAGAGAACCUGUUGCAACACAGCGUACAGAGACCACUGUCACUUGGGAUUCACCAGGUUAUACUUCCAGAGAACCUGUUGCAACACAGCGUACAGAGACCACUGUCACUUGGGAUUCACCAGGUUAUACUUCCAGAGAACCUGUUGCAACACAGCGUACAGAGACCACUGUCACUUGGGAUUCACCAGGUAAGUUACCAACCAAAGGAGAUGGGUAAUAGAUUUCCAGCCAUUAGCAUCAUAUCUGUGUAUUUAAUAAGCACCUAUCUGUGUGAUAUUCUAUGAUACAUGAGUCAAAUUAAAGCAACAACACUGAAAAGAAACAUUGCCAGGUUACCUCUGGCUCUUGGAAUUGGGGUAAUUUUUUUCUGCUAUUUCAGUUCAGUUCAGUUCAGUCAUUCAGUUGUGUCCAACUCUUUGCGACCCCAUGAAUUGCAGCACGCCAGGCCUCCCUGUCCAUCACCAACUCUUGGAGCC